CGCGGCGGCCGCCGGGGCGCGGGUCGUCGCGGUCGACCUCUCGCCCGGGGCGCUGGACCUGGCCCGGACGUUCGGCGCGGCCCGGUGCGUC
Molecule: transfer RNA, 91 nt
Filed under: Streptomyces fructofermentans
Lineage: Bacteria; Bacillati; Actinomycetota; Actinomycetes; Kitasatosporales; Streptomycetaceae
Description: tRNA-Arg
Source: RNAcentral